UACGGGGGGGGUAAGCGUUGUUCGGAAUUACUGGGCGUAAAGGGCUCGUAGGCGGCCAACUAAGUCAGACGUGAAAUCCCUCAGCUUAACUGGGGAACUGCGUCUGAUACUGGAUGGCUUGGAUCCGGGAGAGGGAUGCGGAAUUCCAGGUGUAGCGGUGAAAUGCGUAGAUAUCUGGAGGAAUACCGGUGGCGAAGGCGGCAUCCUGGACCGAGAUUGACACUGAUGAGCGAAAGCCAGGGGAGCAAACGGG
Molecule: ribosomal RNA, 253 nt
Filed under: uncultured bacterium
Lineage: Bacteria
Description: partial 16S ribosomal RNA
Rfam family: Bacterial small subunit ribosomal RNA
Source: RNAcentral